GGUGUCUCUGUAGCUUUACUUUUCUUUCAGAUAGAAGGCCAAGAGUUUGGAGUGCUUGUUAUUUAUCACUAGCGAACAAACAAAGGAGUGAGUCAGCAAAGGAAAAUAUGACAGAAUGAAACCAAACAGCACACGUUUAUUGCUGUCAUUUAGCAUAUGACUUUCUGUAAGGAUUCAGGAAGGUGUUUUUCCUGAGGGGAAACUACCUUUAACAUUUGGGAUUGCCUGAAAUUGCAACACAUGUUAGUAUCUGUUGGGUAUUAAAGGGCUUUUACAGUCACAACUCCACAUCAGUUGAACAUUUCACAGGAUAAGAGAAGAACUCUCAGUUACAGCGGUCUGAUAGACUGCCCAGUGCAGAGCCAAGCCAUGAAAGCCAGCAGCAUCAAGAAGUCAGAAAAGCAGAAUAUUGUGAGAAAAGAUCAAAAGACGCUGAAAGAGAUUGCACAGCAGCUUCGGCAAAUUGGAGAUCUUUUGAAUAGAAGCAAGUGGCCCUGCUUUAUAUUUCAGUUUUGCAAACGCUAAUAAGCAGCUUUCAGAUCGUCAGAGUGUGCUGCACACAAUAUCACAUGGGCACUUUAACAACCCUCAAGUGGAGGGCACUCACUGAAGUCAUCAUUAAGACACAAUGCAAAUCAGAAGAACCUGUAAGCACUUUUAUGUGCCAUCGCAUUCACUUUAUUUCCAUGGAUAUGACUGGAAUCAUUUGUGGGAUAUCUGCUUUGGAGCUAUGCACAAUUCAAAGCAGGUAUUCUGGCUGUGGGCAAAAAUGAGCAAUUCCUUUGUGUCUUCUUAUCAGUUAGAGAAACUUAUACAGAGACAUUCAUCAAAAUGGUGACCUGGGGCAUGGAGCUUGCCACGACAUGAUGGCAUGGUGCUUUAGUUUUAUCAAGUCACCUCUGAUAUCCGAUGCAAAUUUCAUUUGACUUCUUUUGAAAUUUAGAACUGAACAAGAAAUGCACAAAACAUGCAUAUGCUGGCUUAUGCCUAUAAUGAUUUGUAUGUCAGAAUGACAAGUGACGGAGUUAUACAUUUAAUUUUUGUCGGACGUCUUCUGCUUUGUUGUUUAUAUUUCUUUUUCCGUUGUAUUUAUUUAUGUUGAAAACUUAAUUUUAUUUAUUCUAAGUAUUAUUGUUCAAAUGUUAUUCAUUGCAUCUAAAUGCUCUUAUAAAAUGAUGCAUUAUGUUUUAAAGUG
This is a long non-coding RNA of Polypterus senegalus (gray bichir), 1195 nucleotides long. RefSeq lists it as uncharacterized. The record is from RefSeq and is a predicted model, not a curated record. The transcript is spliced from 2 exons. NCBI's taxonomy places the organism in Eukaryota, Metazoa, Chordata, Cladistia, Polypteriformes, Polypteridae.